RNAcentral lists this ribosomal RNA (506 nucleotides) under uncultured bacterium. RNAcentral's name for it is "partial 16S ribosomal RNA". It matches the Rfam family "Bacterial small subunit ribosomal RNA", at positions 29 to 523 of the family's 1533-position model. The record is from RNAcentral.
AUUGAACGCUGGCGGCAGGCCUAACACAUGCAAGUCGGACGGUAGCACAGAGGAGCUUGCUCCUCGGGUGACGAGUGGCGGACGGGUGAGUAAUGUCUGGGGAUCUGCCCGAUAGAGGGGGAUAACCACUGGAAACGGUGGCUAAUACCGCAUAACGUCGCGAGACCAAAGAGGGGGACCUUCGGGCCUCUCACUAUCGGAUGAACCCAGAUGGGAUUAGCUAGUAGGCGGGGUAACGGCCCACCUAGGCGACGAUCCCUAGCUGGUCUGGGAGGAUGACCAGCCACACUGGAAAUGGGCCACGGUCCAGACUCCGACGGGAGGCAGCAGUGGGGAAUAUUGCACAAUGGGCGCAAGCCUGAUGCAGCCAUGCCGCGUGUAUGAGGAAGGCCUUCGGGUUGUAAAGUACUUUCAGCGGGGAGGAAGGCGAUGUGGUUAAUAACCGCGUCGAUUGACGUUACCCGCAGAAGAAGCACCGGCUAACUCCGUGCCAGCCGCCGCCGUAA